CUAGACAAUAGUUCAUAGAAUCAUUUCUAUAGUAAACGUCUUCUUCUGAGCUUCUCAAAAAAGCCACAGAACUCCAAUCUCGAAGAUGAUCUGAUCCUCGAUUGCUUUUAGUGAAGCCGUAUUCUUCGAACUGUCUGAAAAGGCGGCGGUUCUGUGCCAGCACAGAACUGUACAGAGGAAGGUGAUGAUCUAUGCCUUCACAGUUCAGCUUUCGGGAUGAAUUGUGAAGACGGCAAACGGUGGAUGUCUGAGAGAC
Molecule: non-coding RNA, 256 nt
Organism: Blumeria graminis
Lineage: Eukaryota; Fungi; Ascomycota; Leotiomycetes; Helotiales; Erysiphaceae
Source: Rfam